RNAcentral lists this long non-coding RNA (1365 nucleotides) under Oryctolagus cuniculus (rabbit). RNAcentral describes it as "lncRNA (ENSOCUG00000038434.1)". The record is from RNAcentral. Lineage: Eukaryota; Metazoa; Chordata; Mammalia; Lagomorpha; Leporidae.
AUGUACAGAAAGGAGGAGCACACGCCAUGCAUGUGCAGAGAGGAGGAGCACACGCCAUGCAUGUGCAGAGAGGAGGAGCACAUGCUCUGUGCAUGUGCAGAGAGGAGGAGCACACGCCAUGCAUGUGUAGAGAGGAGGAGCAUGCACCAUGCAUGUGUAGAGAGGAGGAGCACAUGCCAUGCAUGUGUAGAGAUGAGGAGCACGUGCCAUGCAUGUGUAGAGAGGAGGAGCACACGCCAUGCAUGUGUAGAGAGGAGGAGCACAUGCCAUGCAUGUGUAGAGAUGAGGAGCACGCGCCAUGCAUGUGUAGAGAGGAGGAGCACAUGCCAUGCAUGUGCAGAGAGGAGGAGCACACGCCAUGCAUGUGUAGAGAGGAGGAGCACACGCCAUGCAUGUGUAGAGAGGAGGAGCACACGCCAUGCAUGUGUAGAGAGGAGGAGCACACGCCAUGCAUGUGCAGAGAGGAGGAGCAUGCGCCAUGCAUGUGCAGAGAGGAGGAGCAUGCUCCGCGCACGUGCAGAGAGGAAGAGUGCACGCCGUGCACAUGCAGAGGAGCGCCUGUGUGCACAUACAGAGAAGCCCACCCCACCGAGGCUGCCGCCUCCACACAGCAGAGCUCCCGUGGGCCCAGUGGUUGGUGGAAGGGCCUCUUUUUUUUUUUCCAGAGCUUCUUUACUUGACGUCAAAAGGAAAAAGCCAAGCAAAAGCAAGGCAGGAAAGCGCCUCAGGUCUUGUUGGAAGAUGGCUUCACUGAUGAUCAAAAACAUUGGCAGCUGGGAUUCCUUUUAACGUCUUUAAUUUUUAUCUAAUCUGCUCCAAAAUGACUGGAUGGUGUCCAAGCCCUUCACUGGAAACAAAUAAGCCUGCAAUCCAAUAGCGUGCUUAACAUGGAGAGAAAGUCACAGAAACCUGAAUGUGCUCGGAUGAAAGGCAAGCAUGGUAGCCAAAAGCGACACCUGCGAGUCCCACUCCUGGCUGUGGACGCGGACAGUGACAGUGCGACGGUGAGUCCCAGUCACCUGUCCAGUAGCCACCAUCAUAGCAGGGCACUUGUUCCCAACAGAGCCACAGAGGCUCACGGACACAGCAGUGAGGAGGAGACAAGGUGGGUGGAGCACAGCUGACUCCUGGAGCCGGGGAGCACCCGGGGGGAGCAGGGCUGGGGGCCCAGCGAGGGCAAAUUCUCACCCUGUGCAGCUAAACGUGCUUACACCCAGCAGGUGGCGGCCCCGGGAUGUGACACGAGCAGCCCCAGUCUGACUUUUCUCAUUUGUUUCAUGAGAAGCCCGGAAUCUGGGAUUUUAUGUGAGAUUGCUGAUUAUUUAACGUUUGUAAUGAAUAAAAGUUUUCAAAACGUGAGCUACA